GCCCUUCAGGCCUAACACAUGCAAGUCGAGCGGAGGUGAGGUGCUUGCACCUUAUCUUAGCGGCGGACGGGUGAGUAAUACUUAGGAAUCUGGCUAUUAGUGGGGGACAACAUUUCGAAAGGGAUGCUAAUACCGCAUACGUCCUACGGGAGAAAGCAGGGGAUCUUCGGACCUUGCGCUAAUAGAUGAGCCUAAGUCGGAUUAGCUAGUUGGUGGGGUAAAGGCCUACCAAGGCGACGAUCUGUAGCGGGUCUGAGAGGAUGAUCCGCCACACUGGGACUGAGACACGGCCCAGACUCCUACGGGAGGCAGCAGUGGGGAAUAUUGGACAAUGGGGGGAACCCUGAUCCAGCCAUGCCGCGUGUGUGAAGAAGGCCUUAUGGUUGUAAAGCACUUUAAGCGAGGAGGAGGGUACUGGUAUUAAUACUACCAGCUACUGGACGUUACUCGCAGAAUAAGCACCGGCUAACUCUGUGCCAGCAGCCGCGGUAAUAAGGGC
RNAcentral lists this ribosomal RNA (499 nucleotides) under uncultured bacterium. RNAcentral describes it as "bacterial SSU rRNA". It matches the Rfam family "Bacterial small subunit ribosomal RNA", at positions 39 to 533 of the family's 1533-position model. The record is from RNAcentral.